UUUUCUUUGUACUACAAAAUAUAUU
RNAcentral lists this non-coding RNA (25 nucleotides) under Rattus norvegicus (Norway rat). Lineage: Eukaryota; Metazoa; Chordata; Mammalia; Rodentia; Muridae. The record is from RNAcentral.